Long non-coding RNA from Helianthus annuus (common sunflower), 1465 nucleotides. RefSeq lists it as uncharacterized. The transcript is spliced from 5 exons. The record is from RefSeq and is a predicted model, not a curated record. NCBI's taxonomy places the organism in Eukaryota, Viridiplantae, Streptophyta, Magnoliopsida, Asterales, Asteraceae.
AAGACGCCUUAGGGUAUAGGGAUUUCAUCCAUGAACUUUUAGAAAGCGUCGGGCAUUGAAUGGCUUCAGAGUACCCUACCCCUUCCAUUUACCGGGCGAUUGGUUUCCCUGUCUGUUUCACUUGAAGUCUACUAUUUUAAGCCCACACUUUUGAGAAGAAGGAAUCCCAAACACGCCCUUCGUCUCGCAGGUCAGUUUUCUGUAACCCUAAUUUUUCUAUUAAUGGUGAACGGCAUACUGCAAUGGAUUCGAAGGGUAUUCAGAUUGAAGCCAUCUCAGAUUAAACUCGCAAUAACGAGGACAGUGAUUUGUUUUCAUUUUAGGUAUGUUUUUGCAGUUUGAUGCUCUAAUUGGUAUUAUGUUAUUUCAAUUAUUCGCCCCAAUCCUCAAAAUUUCCUUUUGAAUUCGCUUGCUUUCCUCUGUUUCGGUUGAUUAAUUGAACACCCGUUUCGAUUUCACAGUGUUUGUUUCGAAUUUUGAGUUUUGCCUAUUAGGGUUUUAGCAUGAUAAUCAAGAGGAAGUUGAAAUUGGCAAUGCUAAUUUAAUCAAGUGCAGUUUUCCCGAUUGUGGUUCAAAGCAAGCUUCAUUGCGGAAGAUAAUCAACCGAUGCCGACCGUAAUCGUCGAAGAACUUCAACUAAUUUAGCAUAAAUUUUCCUUUUCCAUUACCUGUUUGACAUCAACUGUCUUCGACUGCUGAAUUUAUACGCAAAGCAAAACUGUCACAAACCAUGGUGGAAGGAAUCAAUGGAUAAGGUACUUCCCACAAGGACACAGUGAACAGUAAAAAAAAACAAGAAGGCGUACCCGUUCUUCUCAUACAGGUCAUUCACGUGAUACCGCAAAAUGGGUGGAUCCAGACAAGGCAAGCUCAUCGAGAUAGUCCUACACCAAUACUUCUAUCAGUAUUUCUCGACAUAAUUCAACCAAGAUACGAUCAAAAUCGGCUGCAAUGGAUAGGGCCAGAAGUAGUUAGUGAAGAUUGCGAGCUCUUAUUCGCUUCUUAACGGAACUGUAUGUCUUUCUAAAUAGAGGAGAUGUGAAUCCACAUGCUCAAGAGGUUUUAUUUCUUUUUUAUUAUCGUCACUUGGUUUUUAAAUUUUUUUGAAGCACUAUUAUAUGUGCUGGAUAUAAGCAACUCAGUCUUCUGGCAUCAAUCAACAGAAGCAGCAGUCACUUUAGUUGGGGCCUGAUGAUCAUCUCUAUCUGGAAGGAUUUGCAUCAAAUGUCUUUGCAAAGGCCGAUAAGCAAGACCGGCUGGAAGAGCUGACAUGUAUGAUAUGCUCUACUUCUUAUGAUAUAGUUAUUGUAACAUUGGCUUACUAAAGAUUUAGCACACUAAGAAUGAUUUAAUGUGCUUAAAAAGGCUUCCAAAUUCAUAUGCCAUGGGCUCGUACAUAUAAGAAACUCUCUCUUUUUUAGCAAUUCCUCAUGAAAAACAACCGCCGCCUCUGGUUGAAGUUUAA